This 1375-nucleotide ribosomal RNA is filed under the name metagenome. Its description in RNAcentral is "bacterial LSU rRNA". It matches the Rfam family "Bacterial large subunit ribosomal RNA", at positions 1278 to 2769 of the family's 2925-position model. The record is from RNAcentral.
CAGAUCAGAAGCGAGAAUGUUGACAUGAGUAGCGAUAAAGAGGGUGAGAGACCCUCUCGCCGUAAGUCCAAGGGUUCCUGCUUAAAGCUAAUCUGAGCAGGGUAAGCCGGCCCCUAAGGCGAGGCCGAAAGGCGUAGUCGAUGGGAACCAGGUUAAUAUUCCUGGGCCAGGAGGAAGUGACGGAUCUCGAAGGUAGUUUGCCCUUAUCGGAUUGGGUGGGCUGCUCAGAGGUUCCAGGAAAUAGCCCUCCAUCAGACCGUACCCUAAACCGACACAGGUGGACUGGUAGAGUAUACCUAGGCGCUUGAGAGAACCACGUUAAAGGAACUCGGCAAAAUGCCUCCGUAAGUUCGCGAGAAGGAGGCCCCAUAUCUGGGCAACCAGGUGUGGGGGGCACAAACUAGGGGGUGGCGACUGUUUACUUAAAACACAGGGCUGUGCGAAGCCGUAAGGCGACGUAUACAGUCUGACGCCUGCCCGGUGCUGGAAGGUUAAAAGGAGGGGUGCAAGCUCUGAAUUGAAGCCCCAGUAAACGGCGGCCGUAACAAUAACGGUCCUAAGGUAGCGAAAUUCCUUGUCGGGUAAGUUCCGACCUGCACGAAUGGCGUAACGAUCUCCCCGCUGUCUCUAACGUGGGCUCAGCGAAAUUGAACUGUGUGUCAAGAUGCACACUACCCGCGGUUAGACGGAAAGACCCCAUGCACCUUUACUCCAGCUUUGCACUGGUAUCAGGAUUGUGAUGUGCAGGAUAGGUGGUAGGCAUCGAAGCGGGGACGCCAGUUCUCGUGGAGCCUCCCUUGAGAUACCACCCUUCGCCAUCUUGAUAUCUAACCGCGGCCCGUUAUCCGGGUCCGGGACCCUGCAUGGUGGGGAGUUUGACUGGGGCGGUCGCCUCCCAAACAGUAACGGAGGCGCGCGAAGGUAGGCUCAGACCGGUCGGAAAUCGGUCGUUGAGUGCAAUGGCAGAAGCCUGCCUGACUGCAAGUCUGACAAGACGAGCAGAGACGAAAGUCGGUCAUAGUGAUCCGGUGGUCCCAAGUGGGAGGGCCAUCGCUCAACGGAUAAAAGGUACGCUGGGGAUAACAGGCUGAUGAUGCCCAAGAGUCCAUAUCGACGGCAUCGUUUGGCACCUCGAUGUCGGCUCAUCUCAUCCUGGGGCUGGAGCAGGUCCCAAGGGUAUGGCUGUUCGCCAUUUAAAGAGGUACGUGAGCUGGGUUUAGAACGUCGUGAGACAGUUCGGUCCCUAUCUGCCGUGGGUGUAGGAGACUUGAGAAGAGUUGCCCCUAGUACGAGAGGACCGGGGUGAACGAACCACUGGUGGACCAGUUGUCGUGCCAACGGCAGUGCUGGGUAGCUAUGUUCGGACAGGAUAACC